This 493-nucleotide ribosomal RNA is filed under the name uncultured bacterium. RNAcentral's name for it is "partial 16S ribosomal RNA". It matches the Rfam family "Bacterial small subunit ribosomal RNA", at positions 28 to 507 of the family's 1533-position model. The record is from RNAcentral.
GACGAACGCUGGCGGCGUGCUUAACACAUGCAAGUCGAACGGUGAAGGGACCGGUUUUUGCUGGUUCUGGAUGAAUGGCGAACGGGUGAGUAAAACGUGAGUAACCUGCCCCCUUCUUAUGGAUAACCGAAUGAAAGUGUGGCUAAUACGGGGUAUUCUGCGCCUGCUGCAUGGUGGGUGUGGGUAAGGUAUUGUUUCGGUGGGGGAUGGGCUCGGGGCCUGUCAGCUUGUGGGUGGUGUGAGGGCCUACAAAGGCGGUGGCGUGUAGCCGGCCUGAGAGGGUGGCCGGCCACACUGGGAGUGAGACACGGCCGAGACUCAUACGCGACGCAGCCGUGUGGAGGAUGGAACAGUGGGCGAAAGUCUGAUGCAGCGGCGACGCGUGAGGGAUGGAGGCCCUCGGGGUGUAACCCUCUUUCGCCAGUGAAGCAGGCUUGUCCCUGAUGUGGGGGGGGUGACGGUAGCUGGAGAAGAAGCGCCGGCUAACUACGUG